Papaver somniferum (opium poppy) is the source of this 971-nucleotide long non-coding RNA. RefSeq lists it as uncharacterized. The record is from RefSeq and is a predicted model, not a curated record. NCBI's taxonomy places the organism in Eukaryota, Viridiplantae, Streptophyta, Magnoliopsida, Ranunculales, Papaveraceae. The transcript is spliced from 3 exons.
CAACAAUUCAUUAAUUUUUUUCUCAAUUUUGUUGAUCUUAUUCACUGGUUUUCAGAUCUGACGAGAUUGAGACAAUGCAUUAAAGAAUAACAAAUAGAAGAAGAAGACAGGUUGGAAUAGAGAAAUCAACAUAGGUACUAAAUAAAGCUUGGAUGAAUAGAGAAGCCAAAAGAGCAGAGAAUUUGUGGCGAUGAAAGAAAGACAACAAAGACUUCCGCUAGAAGGCAGUGAAGAAUAUUGUUUGCACCUCAUCCGCGAGUGAAGAAUGUUGUUUGCACGACUCAAAACUAGGUGUGGGCUUGAGAUAGUAGAUUUGAAGAAGAUUUGGGCCUGAUAAGUGAAAGAUCCCUAACCCAUAUUCAAACCCGACUCAUCAACGUUUGAUGCAACUGCUCAACACCCUAGCACACACCAUUCUUCCCCUAAUCGAACAAGAGCCAAACAUCCCCUUUACCUUCGUUCGCAUCUUCUCCAAGCUCUGCAAAAACUCCCAGUACACCUCCAUCAAUCACCUCCACUCCCGACCACUUCUGAGCACAACCACCUUCUCAAGAGCCAUCAAUCAAUCUCCUAGUUUCUAUCUCUCUCCAUCUUAUCUUCUCCCUUAUCAAAAACAGUAACCCUAGAAGCUAUAAUUGAGAGAGAUAAGACUAGGAUUUCUUCACAGCUAAACAAAACAUCAAAUCAAGGAGCUGAAUUGCAGAAGGGGUUUGUCAGAAAACGUGUUAUUGGUGAGUGGGUGUUCUCUAAAUUAUCAAAUUCUAAGUGAUUGAGUGAAAAUUGUGUAUAAAUAGAGCAGAGGUUUUGAUGUAAAAUUCAUGCCCGAAUUAGCCGGUGCACCAAGUAGUAGUUUAUGUUUGUUUUCAGUAUUAUCAUCAUGUUCAAAUUUCAUAACUAGGGUUUAGAUGAAACCCUGACUCUCUGUUAUUCAUACUGUUUAUGUUACUCUUGAAUGCUUAAAUUGUGUUAAG